UACGUAGGUGGCAAGUGUUGUCCGGAAUUAUUGGGCGUAAAGCGCGCGCAGGCGGUCCUUUAAGUCUGAUGUGAAAGCCCACGGCUCAACCGUGGAGGGUCAUUGGAAACUGGAGGACUUGCGUGCAGAAGAGGAAAGUGGAAUUCCAUGUGCAGCGGUGAAAUGCGUAGAGAUGUGGAGGAACACCAGUGGCGAAGGCGACUUUCUGGUCUGUAACUGACGCUGCGGCGCGAAGGCGUGGGGAGCAAGCAGG
This 253-nucleotide unclassified non-coding RNA is filed under the name uncultured Caryophanaceae bacterium. RNAcentral's name for it is "uncultured Planococcaceae bacterium contains 16S-23S intergenic spacer region". It matches the Rfam family "Bacterial small subunit ribosomal RNA", at positions 524 to 776 of the family's 1533-position model. The record is from RNAcentral. Lineage: Bacteria; Bacillati; Bacillota; Bacilli; Caryophanales; Caryophanaceae.